CGGACGUGUAGGGUGCUUACCAUGCUAGUCGCACGAUGAAGCCCUUCGGGGUGGAUUAGUGGCGAACGGGUGAGUAACACGUGGGCAAUCUGCCCUUCACUCUGGGACAAGCCCUGGAAACGGGGUCUAAUACCGGAUACCACUCCUGCCCGCAUGGGCGGGGGUUGAAAGCUCCGGCGGUGAAGGAUGAGCCCGCGGCCUAUCAGCUUGUUGGUGGGGUAAUGGCCCACCAAGGCGACGACGGGUAGCCGGCCUGAGAGGGCGACCGGCCACACUGGGACUGAGACACGGCCCAGACUCCUACGGGAGGCAGCAGUGGGGAAUAUUGCACAAUGGGCGAAAGCCUGAUGCAGCGACGCCGCGUGAGGGAUGACGGCCUUCGGGUUGUAAACCUCUUUCAGCAGGGAAGAAGCGAAAGUGACGGUACCUGCAGAAGAAGCGCCGGCUAACUACGUGCCAGCAGCCGCGGUAAUACGUAGGGCGCAAGCGUUGUCCGGAAUUAUUGGGCGUAAAGAGCUCGUAGGCGGCUUGUCACGUCGGAUGUGAAAGCCCGAGGCUUAACCUCGGGUCUGCAUUCGAUACGGGCUAGCUAGAGUGUGGUAGGGGGAGAUCGGAAUUCCUGGUGUAGCGGUGAAAUGCGCAGAUAUCAGGAGGAACACCGGUGGCGAAGGCGGAUCUCUGGGCCAUUACUGACGCUGAGGAGCGAAAGCGUGGGGAGCGAACAGGAUUAGAUACCCUGGUAGUCCACGCCGUAAACGUUGGGAACUAGGUGUUGGCGACAUUCCACGUCGUCAGUGCCGCAGCUAACGCAUUAAGUUCCCCGCCUGGGGAGUACGGCCGCAAGGCUGAAACUCAAAGGAAUUGACGGGGGCCCGCACAAACGGCGGAGCAUGUGGCUUAAUUCGACGCAACGCCGAGAACCUUACCCACGCUUGACAUAUACCCGAAAGCAUUAGAGAUAGUGCCCCCCUCGUGGUCGGUAUACAAAUGGUGCAUCGCUGUCGUCAACUCCUCUCGGGAGAUGUUGGGUUAAUUCCCGCACCGGCGCGACCCCUCUCCUUGGUUGGCGGCCGGCCCUUUCCGGGUUAAGGGGGAAUCCGGGAAAAACGGCGAGCUGCCCU
Molecule: ribosomal RNA, 1121 nt
Filed under: Streptomyces xanthophaeus
Lineage: Bacteria; Bacillati; Actinomycetota; Actinomycetes; Kitasatosporales; Streptomycetaceae
Description: bacterial SSU rRNA
Rfam family: Bacterial small subunit ribosomal RNA
Source: RNAcentral